GAUGAACGCUGGCGGCGUGCCUAAUACAUGCAAGUCGAGCGAACAGACGAGGAGCUUGCUCCUCUGACGUUAGCGGCGGACGGGUGAGUAACACGUGGAUAACCUACCUAUAAGACUGGGAUAACUUCGGGAAACCGGAGCUAAUACCGGAUAAUAUAUUGAACCGCAUGGUUCAAUAGUGAAAGACGGUUUUGCUGUCACUUAUAGUUGGAUCCGCGCCGCAUUAGCUAGUUGGUAAGGUAACGGCUUACCAAGGCGACGAUGCGUAGCCGACCUGAGAGGGUGAUCGGCCACACUGGAACUGAGACACGGUCCAGACUCCUACGGGAGGCAGCAGUAGGGAAUCUUCCGCAAUGGGCGAAAGCCUGACGGAGCAAAGCCGCGUGAGUGAUGAAGGUCUUCGGAUCGUAAAACUCUGUUAUUAGGGAAGAACAAAUGUGUAAGUAACUAUGCACGUCUUGACGGUACCUAAUCAGAAAGCCACGGCUAACUACGUG
Molecule: ribosomal RNA, 497 nt
Filed under: uncultured bacterium
Lineage: Bacteria
Description: partial 16S ribosomal RNA
Rfam family: Bacterial small subunit ribosomal RNA
Source: RNAcentral